Polyodon spathula (Mississippi paddlefish) is the source of this 1361-nucleotide long non-coding RNA. RefSeq lists it as uncharacterized. Lineage: Eukaryota; Metazoa; Chordata; Actinopteri; Acipenseriformes; Polyodontidae. The transcript has 4 exons. The record is from RefSeq and is a predicted model, not a curated record.
AGAAGCUGUGAAGUGCAGUGUGAACCCUUAUUUGUAUUGUGGAUCACGGCCAAUGGUGAAGGAGCUGCAACAUUCUCGCAUUCUUGAAGGCAUAGACUCCCUCCCUGGAGCUUGGCCUUGGUUAGUGAGUGUCCAAAUACCCACAAGGUCACAGGCAUUCCUGUGGGGCCACUCUCCUGAAUAAUAAAUGGAUUAUUACUGCAUCACACUGCUUCAAGACACCGGAGAAAUGUGAUUCUUCCCACUUGCAAAGUGUAACAGUACUGAGUGGUAUAAUGGAGUGGUGAUAUCUCUGAACUUGUGUGUAGGGUUUGAGAAAGGAGGAGUUGACAGCUGUCAGGGCGACAGUGGAGGGCCUUUGGUGUGCAAGGAUAAAGUGAGUAAAACAUAUAUUGUAAUUGGAGUCACAAGCUGGGGACAGGGCGGUACUGAAGGCAAACAUCCAGGGAUUUACACCUCCAUGCAGUCUUACCUUGACUGGAUCACAAAGACAAUGAGCAGGACACACACAUGUGGUCAGUCUCCACUGGAUAUGAUGAAAACCAACAGUAAACAAAUGUCAAGGAUCAUCGCUAUAAAAAAAAACACCUGCUUCUGGCAAUGUUUCCUCCACUAGCAAUGGGUUAGUUUACUGCCUGUCUUCUGCACUCCUAAGUGUACUGCACACAUACCUCCGGGUGUAAAGAGAGCUUCAAUUAAAAUUAAAAAAAAAAAACAAUUUGAGUAAAAUAACUGUUUCUAGGUUUUUUUUAUUAUUAUUAUUGGAAAAGUUAAUAAAGUUUCUAGUAUUACCUUGUUUACAUAAUGUUCAGUAUUUGUCUAGUCUACAGUUUUCUGGUCCCCACUCUAUUUGGUUUAUAAGAAUACGACCAUACGUUUCUUCCCCUAUCACAAUUAGGAAUGGUUAUUUCAAAGACACUAGAGAAAAGUGUUGAUUUCUCCACCUGCUACCUAAUAAUUUAAUGUGUUGUAGUUCAAAUUCAAUCCAGUGGUCUAGCAGCAAGCAGAAAAUGUGACCUGCAGGGACAUGGCACUUUAUUUACAGUGUAUUUUAAAUAUGUGCGUGUCUGGAAUUAACAUAAAAAGCAGAUGAAGAACCAAAAGAUCCGAAGCACAAUACAAGGGGACCUGCAGUAAGAACAUUGAAAUGUAGUGUGCUGGUCUAUUGUGUCAAUGCUGAACCCUCAGCACCUAACGAGGUACACUACAAAUUAAGUAAAAAUAAGGUUACAUUUGCACUGCAAUUAACCAUGGUAUUUAGCACAUAUUAAACAUAUUAACCAUGUUUAUCUGUGUUCUUCUGUGAUUUGGAUUUUCCUAUGGCAUGAUUUACGUAUACUACCCAUUGCUAUGCUAGGCUA